AGAACGAACGCUGGCGGCAUGCCUAACACAUGCAAGUCGAACGUGAUCCAGGCUUCGGCCUGGUGAAAGUGGCAGACGGGUGAGUAACGCGUGGGAACCUGCCCUGUGGUAGGGAAUAACCGUGGGAAACUGCGGCUAAUACCCUAUGAGUCCUUCGGGAGAAAGAUUUAUCGCCAUAGGAGGGGCCCGCGUCGGAUUAGGUAGUUGGUGGGGUAACGGCCUACCAAGCCUUCGAUCCGUAGCUGGUCUGAGAGGACGAUCAGCCACACUGGGACUGAGACACGGCCCAGACUCCUACGGGAGGCAGCAGUGGGGAAUCUUGCGCAAUGCGCGAAAGCGUGACGCAGCAACGCCGCGUGGGGGAAGAAGGCCUUCGGGUUGUAAACCCCUUUCAGUUGGACGAAGCUUCGGCGGUGAAUAGCCGUCUGGAGUGACGGUACUUCAGAAGAAGCCCGGCUAACUACGUGCCAGCAGCCGC
This 478-nucleotide ribosomal RNA is filed under the name uncultured bacterium. Its description in RNAcentral is "SSU rRNA". It matches the Rfam family "Bacterial small subunit ribosomal RNA", at positions 26 to 518 of the family's 1533-position model. The record is from RNAcentral.